Molecule: ribosomal RNA, 294 nt
Filed under: uncultured bacterium
Lineage: Bacteria
Description: partial 16S ribosomal RNA
Rfam family: Bacterial small subunit ribosomal RNA
Source: RNAcentral
GAUGAACGCUAGCGGCAGGCCUAAUACAUGCAAGUCGGACGGGAUAGAAGAGCUUGCUUUUCUUGAGAGUGGCGCACGGGUGCGUAACACGUAUGUAACCUACCUUUAUCAGGGGGAUAGCCUCUCGAAAGAGAGAUUAAGCCCGCAUAAUAUGAAGACACAGCAUUGUGAUUUCAUCAAAUAUUUAUAGGAUAAAGAUGGGCAUGCGGAACAUAGCUAGUUAGGUAAGGUAAUGGCUUACCAAGGCUACGAUGUUUAGGGGAUCGUGAGAGGAUCGGCCCCCCANACUGGUAC